Non-coding RNA from Molossus molossus (Pallas's mastiff bat), 471 nucleotides. Lineage: Eukaryota; Metazoa; Chordata; Mammalia; Chiroptera; Molossidae. The record is from the annotation of a RefSeq genome assembly.
GCUGAUGAUGUCAUUGACACAAAGAAGAAAAUGCAAAACAGGAAGCCUUAAAUCAGCUUAAUGGUGAGCAUCACAUGUGCAGCUGAGGCCGGAGACCACUGCGGUGUGGCUAUGGCUUUGCGGAGCACCCUGGAAGCUGUGUGGUUGGGGCUCCUCUUCAGCUCUCUCUGGAAAAUUGCAGAGAGCAAGGAUCAAGUAUUUCAGCAGUCCUCUGUGGUAUCUUCGGAGGGAGCGGUGGUGGAAAUCUCCUGCAAUCACUCUAUAUCCAAUGCUUAUAACUUCUUCUGGUACCUUUACACCCCAGGAUGUGCACCAAGACUCCUUGUGAAGGGCUCAAAGCCUUUUCAGCAGGGACACUACAACAUGACAUAUGAGCGAUUUUCUUCUUCACUGCUCAUCCUCCAGGUGCAGGUGAAAGAUUCUGCUGUUUACUACUGUGCUCUGGGGGACACAGAGGCAGAGAACCCAUGA